This is a non-coding RNA of Astyanax mexicanus (Mexican tetra), 73 nucleotides long. Lineage: Eukaryota; Metazoa; Chordata; Actinopteri; Characiformes; Acestrorhamphidae. The record is from the annotation of a RefSeq genome assembly.
AGCCCCAUAGCUCAGUGGCUAGAGCGCUGGUCUUCUAAACCAGAGGUCGCGAGUUCAAUUUUUGCUGGGGCUG